Non-coding RNA from Stegodyphus mimosarum, 73 nucleotides. Lineage: Eukaryota; Metazoa; Arthropoda; Arachnida; Araneae; Eresidae. The record is from Rfam.
GCCUUCGUAGUGUAGUGGACAGCACGCUCGACACGUAACCAAGAGGUCCGUGGUUCGAUUCCCGUCGAAGGCG